CAUUAAGUGACUGAAAGUAAGUAAUGGUCUCUUAAACCAUCAAUAUUAACUAACGCCUAUUCUUAAUGA
This 69-nucleotide transfer RNA is filed under the name Rybaxis sp. 1 EF-2015. RNAcentral describes it as "tRNA-Lys". Lineage: Eukaryota; Metazoa; Arthropoda; Insecta; Coleoptera; Staphylinidae. The record is from RNAcentral.